UAGAUUUUUGUUUUCAAAUGUAGACUGGAGAUAUAACAAAUGAUGAACUAUUUUUUUAUUUUUAAUAUCACAAAAAUAAUAUAUCAGAUUGUUGCAGAAAAAUAUACUGUUAGUUGCUAUUGUCAGCCUAUAACAUAAAAAUUGUAUUUAAACUUACUUUGCGAAGGAGUAUAUUGCAUGCUUACUAGGACUAUAUUGUAUUGGAGGCCCACAUACUUUCUUUCAGCAAAUAUGACACUUGGUUUUCCUAUAACGUUGAAACAGAUUACUGUUUCUUUGAUUGAGCACUAGGUAAACUAGAUUCUUGUGUUAGGUUUUGUACAGACAAACAAACAAAAAA
This is a long non-coding RNA of Sapajus apella (tufted capuchin), 340 nucleotides long. RefSeq lists it as uncharacterized. The record is from RefSeq and is a predicted model, not a curated record. Lineage: Eukaryota; Metazoa; Chordata; Mammalia; Primates; Cebidae. The transcript has 2 exons.